Molecule: ribosomal RNA, 582 nt
Filed under: Triticum aestivum (bread wheat)
Lineage: Eukaryota; Viridiplantae; Streptophyta; Magnoliopsida; Poales; Poaceae
Description: partial small subunit ribosomal RNA
Source: RNAcentral
GUGUACGUGUUGUGUGUAGGGAAUAGGGGUGGAGUGUUCCGUGUUGAAGUCGUUGAGUGUACCGUAUCAGGGCGAAAGAGAGGGACGGUGACGAGGAGAACAGGGCGGUAUCUCAGUAGACGGCCGAGGAGAGGGUCGGAACCACAGUCGGUAGCGAAGGAGAGGGACGGUGAUGCAUCACCGACCACCUGGUGCGAGCUGGCUCCCUUCUUUGUUGCUGCGGCAUCCAUUGUCCGUAUGUGUGUCAGCCACCCGCGGACUUUGUUACGGUAGUUUGUACGUACUCGUUGCUGGAGCUAGUACGGAGGGAUACACGUUGGUCUUACACCUCGGGUCCUCGUUCUACUGUGGUGGCUGCUAAUGAUGAUGUGGCUCCCACGGAAGGUGAUGCACCUCCGGCGGCUGCUGGUCCUCGUCAAUCCUCCGAGGGUCCGUCCUCCGGAACGGAAAAGCUAGCAACAACGAAAACACGAUCGGAAGAAUUCCUUUUGAACAGAUUAAAUACAGACAUGAGUCUAAAACAACGAAGGCGACUGAGCAAACAUAAGCUCGAAUACAUAAGCUCGGGAGCUCCGGGGACCG